UAAUCUGCCUGGCAGGGGAGAUACCAUGAUCACUAAGGUGGUUUCCACACCGCGAGGCUUACUCAUUGCACUCUGGAUGUGCUGACCCCUGCAGUUUUCCCAAAUGUGGGAAACUUGACCACAUAAUUCGUCGUUGUGGGGAUCUGUGUUCACGCUUUCCCCUG
This is a small nuclear RNA of Vicugna pacos (alpaca), 164 nucleotides long. Its record names the gene U1. It matches the Rfam family "U1 spliceosomal RNA". Rfam says of the family: U1 is a small nuclear RNA (snRNA) component of the spliceosome (involved in pre-mRNA splicing). NCBI's taxonomy places the organism in Eukaryota, Metazoa, Chordata, Mammalia, Artiodactyla, Camelidae. The record is from Ensembl.